CAGUCGCCGCGGUAAUACGUAGGGUGCAAGCGUUAAUCGGAAUUACUGGGCGUAAAGCGCACGCAGGCGGUCUGUCAAGUCGGAUGUGAAAUCCCCGGGCUCAACCUGGGAACUGCAUUCGAAACUGGCAGGCUAGAGUCUUGUAGAGGGGGGUAGAAUUCCAGGUGUAGCGGUGAAAUGCGUAGAGAUCUGGAGGAAUACCGGUGGCGAAGGCGGCCCCCUGGACAAAGACUGACGCUCAGGUGCGAAAGCGUGGGGAGCAAACAGGAUUAGAUACCCGUGUAGUCCCUGUCUCUUAUAA
This 301-nucleotide ribosomal RNA is filed under the name uncultured bacterium. RNAcentral's name for it is "partial 16S ribosomal RNA". It matches the Rfam family "Bacterial small subunit ribosomal RNA", at positions 509 to 809 of the family's 1533-position model. The record is from RNAcentral.